RNAcentral lists this ribosomal RNA (700 nucleotides) under uncultured archaeon. RNAcentral's name for it is "bacterial SSU rRNA". It matches the Rfam family "Archaeal small subunit ribosomal RNA", at positions 156 to 859 of the family's 1478-position model. The record is from RNAcentral.
AGAACAUUAUGCCUGGAAUGGUUUAUGUUUCAAAUAAUUUAUUGCCGUAAGAUGGGACUGCGGCCUAUCAGUUUGUUGGUGAGGUAAUGGCCCACCAAGACUAUUACAGGUACGGGCUCUGAGAGGAGUAGCCCGGAGAUGGGUACUGAGACACGGACCCAGGCCCUAUGGGGCGCAGCAGGCGAGAAAACUUUGCAAUGUGCGAAAGCACGACAAGGUUAAUCCGAGUGGUUUCUACUAAAGGAACCUUUUGUCAGUCCUAGAAACACUGGCGAAUAAGGGGUGGGCAAGUUCUGGUGUCAGCCGCCGCGGUAAAACCAGCACCUCAAGUGGUCAGGAUGAUUAUUGGGCCUAAAGCAUCCGUAGCCUGCUUUGUUAGUUUUCGGUUAAAUCCAUAUGCUCAACGUAUGGGCUGCCGGGAAUACUGCAAAGCUAGGGAGUGGGAGAGGUAGACGGUACUCGGUAGGAAGGGGUAAAAUCCUUUGAUCUAUUGAUGACCACCUGUGGCGAAGGCGGUCUACCAGAACACGUCCGACGGUGAGGGAUGAAAGCUGGGGGAGCAAACCGGAUUAGAUACCCGGGUAGUCCCAGCUGUAAACUAUGCAAACUCGGUGAUGCAUUGGCUUGAUGCCAAUGCAGUGCCGCAGGGAAGCCGUUAAGUUUGCCGCCUGGGAAGUACGUACGCAAGUAUGAAACUUAA